RNAcentral lists this ribosomal RNA (1460 nucleotides) under Spirulina subsalsa FACHB-351. Its description in RNAcentral is "bacterial SSU rRNA". It matches the Rfam family "Bacterial small subunit ribosomal RNA". Lineage: Bacteria; Bacillati; Cyanobacteriota; Cyanophyceae; Spirulinales; Spirulinaceae. The record is from RNAcentral.
AAACGACUUGCAAGCAUGCUGACUCAUCGCAGUCGAACGGACUCUUCGGAGUUAGUGGCGGACGGGUGAGUAAAGCGUGAGAAUCUGCCUCUAGGUCGGGGACAACAGUUGGAAACGACUGCUAAUCCCGGAUGAGCCUGCGGGUAAAAGAUUAAUUGCCUAGAGAGGAGCUCGCGUCUGAUUAGCUAGUUGGUGAGGUAAAGGCUCACCAAGGCGACGAUCAGUAGCUGUUCUGAGAGGAAGAACAGCCACACUGGGACUGAGACACGGCCCAGACUCCUACGGGAGGCAGCAGUGGGGAAUUUUCCGCAAUGGGCGAAAGCCUGACGGAGCAAUACCGCGUGAGGGAAGAAGGCCUUUGGGUCGUAAACCUCUUUUCUCAGGGAAGAAGUUCUGACGGUACCUGAGGAAAAAGCCUCGGCUAACUCCGUGCCAGCAGCCGCGGUAAUACGGAGGAGGCAAGCGUUAUCCGGAAUUAUUGGGCGUAAAGCGUCCGUAGGUGGCCUUUCAAGUCUGCGGUUAAAAACCAGAGCUCAACUCUGGGGGGGCCGUGGAAACUGAGAAGCUAGAGUACAGUAGGGGUAGAGGGAAUUCCCAGUGUAGCGGUGAAAUGCGUAGAGAUUGGGAAGAACACCGGUGGCGAAAGCGCUCUACUGGGCUUGUACUGACACUGAGGGACGAAAGCUAGGGGAGCAAAAGGGAUUAGAUACCCCUGUAGUCCUAGCCGUAAACGAUGGAAACUAGGCGUAGCCUGUAUCAACUCAGGCUGUGCCGAAGCUAACGCGUUAAGUUUCCCGCCUGGGGAGUACGCACGCAAGUGUGAAACUCAAAGGAAUUGACGGGGGCCCGCACAAGCGGUGGAGUAUGUGGUUUAAUUCGAUGCAACGCGAAGAACCUUACCAGGGCUUGACAUCCCGCGAAUCCUGCCGAAAGGUGGGAGUGCCUAAGGGAACGCGGAGACAGGUGGUGCAUGGCUGUCGUCAGCUCGUGUCGUGAGAUGUUGGGUUAAGUCCCGCAACGAGCGCAACCCUCGUCCUUAGUUGCCAUCAUUAAGUUGGGAACUCUAGGGAGACUGCCGGGGACAACUCGGAGGAAGGUGGGGAUGACGUCAAGUCAGCAUGCCCCUUACGUCCUGGGCUACACACGUACUACAAUGGUUGAGACAAAGGGCAGCGAACUCGCAAGAGCCAGCGAAUCCCAGCAAACUCAGCCCCAGUUCAGAUUGCAGGCUGCAACUCGCCUGCAUGAAGUAGGAAUCGCUAGUAAUCGCCGGUCAGCAUACGGCGGUGAAUCCGUUCCCGGGCCUUGUACACACCGCCCGUCACACCAUGGAAGCUGGCAACAUCCGAAGUCGUUACUCCAACCGUUCGCGGAGGAGGGCGCCGAAGGUGGGGCUAGUGACUGGGGUGAAGUCGUAACAAGGUAGCCGUACCGGAAGGUGUGGCUGGAUCACCUCCUUU